Molecule: long non-coding RNA, 286 nt
Filed under: Struthio camelus australis
Lineage: Eukaryota; Metazoa; Chordata; Aves; Struthioniformes; Struthionidae
Description: lncRNA (ENSSCUG00000012577.1)
Source: RNAcentral
UUCUUGCAGGAGAAGAGUGAAUCAUAACUUUUUAUCUUAAAAAAUAUAUGCAACCAGGGUAUACAUUGUGCUGAUAUAUGGACCAGUGCUCAGUGUUGCACUAUUUCAGUUCUGCUUGUGAAGCUGGACCUCUGGUCUGUGCAGCUGGAAGACAAAUAAAUUCUGGAUUUGGAAGGAUUAUUCCUGAGCUACAGGAAUACAACUUGUUUAUAGCGCACAAGAUGCAGCAGAAGGAUGUGAAGUCUUUGCCUUGAUCUUGCAGAGGAGGGAUAACAGGAGCCUGAGC